GUCUGUGUGUGGGUGUGGGUGCGAGCGUUCUGCUUGUGCAUCACUGAGGAGGUGUUCCAGCCUCUACUUGCAUGUAUACAUAUAUAUAUAUAUAUAUGCAUGUGCUCGUGCGUCGUGCUCCUCAAUCCAUCACACUAAAGCACGCUUAUGCACCAACACGCACGCACGCACACACACGCCAAAAUAGCAAACGCGUCAGGACACGCCGGAAAUAAACGAAAGAAAAAGGAUGCAGUGAUGCGGUUCCUGACAACGCAGUUCGCACGGUGACUCGCGAGCAGCCCUUCAGGCAGCAAAAAAGAAAAGGUCCAUGAAUGAGAGCAACAACAGGGGUCAGAGGAAGCGUACAUGUUACUCAUUCCAACCGAGAGACGAGCGCGCUUCGUGUGAGAGAGAGAGUCGGCCAAGCACGUCCUUUCGGUGCGUUGUUGAGUGGCAGGAUCAGCGCUCUUUUUCGCUUCGAGGUUCUUCUCUGCAGUGGCUGGCGUCGCACGCGUGUCUCUGCGUUUUCGAUCACUUACUCUCAUUCUGGGCACUCCUUUGUGGUGGUCCCCUUCGUCCCUCUCCCCGCUCUAACCGGCGAGGACUGAGAUGCAG
RNAcentral lists this unclassified non-coding RNA (597 nucleotides) under Leishmania donovani. Its description in RNAcentral is "gene:unknown". The record is from RNAcentral. Lineage: Eukaryota; Euglenozoa; Kinetoplastea; Trypanosomatida; Trypanosomatidae.